CCUACGGGAGACUGCAGUGAGGAAUAUUGGUCAAUGGCCGGAAGGCUGAACCAGCCAAGCCGCGUGAAGGACGAAGGUGCCAAGCAUUGUAAACUUCUUUUGUCAAGGGACAAACUCAGGCUCGAGAGCCUGACCGAGGGUACUUUAAGAACAAGCAUCGGCUAACUCCGUGCCAGCAGCCGCGGUAAUACGGAGGAUGCGAGCGUUAUCCGGAUUUAUUGGGUUUAAAGGGUGCGUAGGCGCACUGUUAAGUCAGCGGUAAAAGCCCGGGGCUCAACCCCGGCGAGCCGUUGAAACUGGCGGUCUUGAGAUGUCGAGAGGUAUGCGGAAUGCGCAGUGUAGCGGUGAAAUGCUUAGAUAUUGCGCAGAACUCCGAUUGCGAAGGCAGCAUACCGGAGGCGAUCUGACGCUGAGGCACGAAAGCGUGGGUAUCGAACAGGAUUAGAUACCCGAGUAGUC
This 459-nucleotide ribosomal RNA is filed under the name uncultured bacterium. Its description in RNAcentral is "partial 16S ribosomal RNA". It matches the Rfam family "Bacterial small subunit ribosomal RNA", at positions 338 to 795 of the family's 1533-position model. The record is from RNAcentral.